This is a non-coding RNA of Rattus norvegicus (Norway rat), 3620 nucleotides long. NCBI's taxonomy places the organism in Eukaryota, Metazoa, Chordata, Mammalia, Rodentia, Muridae. The record is from RefSeq and is a predicted model, not a curated record.
CUGUGACUUAGAGAAUUAUGAGAAAAGAUAUUUAAAGGGAACAUGGUAGAUAACUAACCAAUAUAUUUCUUUCAGUUGUUUAUAAACUUGAAAUAGAUAGAACUGUGUGGUCCUUGAUAAGAAUCUACUGUGGUAGCUAUCUUCUGAUUGAAUUCCUUUUUCUACUGAGCAUCAACACAAAUGGUUGGAGACAAGCUGGAGUAAAUCAUUUCCUCACCUUUUAACUUAAUUCAAGAAACAAUUUGUCUCAUCAUCAUCCCUUUGAGGUAGUACAGCACAGAGUCUUGUGAACAUGUCCUUGCUAAAAGAAUGGCCAGCUCACUAGGAGUCUCCUGAGUGUUCUCCGCUCUCACAGAGCAUCUGACUUACUGGUACUCCAUAGAUGUACUCCACUCUGAGUGACUGAAUGCAAGGGUGUUCAUGAAUAACCUGAUCAGUGCUCAAGUCAACCUCCCACUAGAGGAUUAUUGAACUGUGCAUCAUUUUAUAUAUAUUUGUUUAUUAAAGGCUAUUCUGUGUAAUGAUAAUGAGGAACUUUCUCUCUUUUGUCUUCCCUCUGCUUUACAGAUUGCUGAAUUCCUGGUGAUAUUAUGGUUCCUGAGUCUUCUGCCGUGCUUCUUUGCUCCAAUUGGUAUCAUCCCAAUAUAUGUGUAUUCACUUGCGCUUUAUGGGUUUAUGCACUUCUUUCUUAUCAACCCCCCAAAAAACUUUCUACUAUAAAUCCAGAUUUUGGUUGUUUAAACUUCUGAACCAGAAUUUUGCAACAGAAAUACAUACAGAGUGCAAGCCACUGUUCAGUGCAUUCCUGCUUGGCUUCGCUUCAUCCAGUGCCUGUGCUGGUACCGUGACACAAGAAGAGCCUUUCCUCUUCCAGUAAAUGCUGCCUGGCAAAUACUCUACAACUUUCUUCACCCUGACAUUUCCAGCCCUUUACAACACUCACAAAGGACCAUUUUCUUCUUAACAAAAAGAAUAAGGCUAUGAGAUCUCAGCAAAACAACUGUGCCCUGCCCAUCACUUGGCUUUGGAAUAAAAAAAAAAAUAAUGAUAUAAACUCUUUGACUUCCAGGAAUGAUAUGAACAGGAACUGUAAGAGCAGGAAGUCCAGAUGCUUCUGAGAGGACCCCAGCUUCUAAUUCCCAUUUGUAGACGGCUCAGAUCAAGACAAUCUCUUCAUGAAACAACUCAACACCUACUAAGGACUCAGAGAGCUUUCCCAAGGACCUUUUUUGUACCAAGACAGAAGGUCAGCUUUCAUCUCCCCAUCUCUGAUAUCUUCAUCCUAUUUGUCCUCCCUCCCAAAUGGCUCUUUACACUGAAUUAUAGGCCAAUUAGUAAACCAUAGAUAUAUGGAAUGAAUAUCUGAGAGGCAGUUGCUGUCAGGACAACACUUGUGACAACAUAGAAGAAGAUAGGGCUCUCAAGGAUACAAGAGAUAUAUUACGGGGGUACUAAGGAUGAUGUCACUGAGAACUGCCAUGGACUACCUGCUAAACAGAUUUCCUUACAUUGACCAGAUUUGACGGUGCCCUUUCUAGGAGAGUCUCCUAUGACACAGUGGAAACCUUUUGUACUCCAUCUCUCUAACGCUAGAGACUUCUCUUUGCUGCAUUAGUGUUUACAUGGUCUGAAUGGACAAAAUUAAUCGGGACUUGGCAUGGGUAGAAAAGAUCUAGGAAGAUGGAGUGGAGGAGAUUCUUCUUGAUAAUAAUUUUGCUCCCUGGUCCAUUCCUGUGACAUACAGUUCAAUUUCCUAGUUUUUCUCUGUUUCCCAAAGGCCAUUAUUUUCCAUACAGACCUUUAAUUGAGUGAAUAUUGUAUUUCAUUUUCUAAUUCUUCAUUCCUAGAUAGGGCACUUUGUAUUCAUUCCUGAAAGUGUACUCAAAAAUUCUCUUUUACAAUUGCAUUUUUGUAAUGAUUUUGGCAAAAAAGAGGGCCGAAGUAUAGAGUGCAGAGAACAGUGUAAAUAUUUUGUACCUACUUCAAAUGAUAAACUCCAAAUUCUUAUUUUAUCCAAAAAUUAUCAUACAUCAGUAAAUCAAAGACAACAUGUACUAUACAAUUCGUUUCUCUAUUCCCAUUUGAUAUCAUUUCUGCAAUAUCUUCCUUCUUGUGUUCCCAUGGCCACACUUGAGGUUUUUGGAUAUUUUACAAUGAUUCUUUUUUCAGGCCAAACAUAAGACUUAGGUGGAUGGGCAGGGAAAGAAAUGUUUUGAGUUCAACUGAAACCUCAAUUUCAAUAAGUUCAUAAGGACAGGAGGGACCUUUGCAUCUGUAGAUUCUACAUUCUUGUUCUAGAUGCGCAGAAUCAAUGGUAAAUUCCAUCUAACCUCACAUAGGAGACAAUAUAUAUAUGAUAGAUAGAUAGAUAGAUAGAUAGAUAGAUAGAUAGAUAGAUAGAUAGACAGAUAGAUAGAUCUGCCACUAAAAUAAGAUAAGAUUGUUGAAGUUAAGAAGUGCAUUCUGCCAGGAAGAGGAUAUAGACAUUUCCUGAGAAACACAGCUAGAAUAUGUCAAUUACAUAAGUGAAUGCUUGUGGCAAACCAGUUACUUGUAAAUGGAACUCUUGUUGAUAACUUUUGAGAAAGGAUUACAAGAGGUAAAGGGGUUUGCAAACCCAUAAGAAAAGCAAUGUCAAUGAACCAGAGCUUUCUAGUACUAGACCAAUAUUCAACGAAUGUACAUGGACAUACCUAUGGCUCCCACUGCAUAUUUAGUACCAGAUGGCCUUCUUGGGAACCAACAGAAGUAGAAGCUCUUGUUCCUCCCUAUAUUUGAUUCACAGUUCAUGGGAAUGCAAAGGGGUAGUAAGGGGAUUAUAGUAGAAUGGGAGGUGGACUGGUUAGGGAUCUUAGAGACAGGAAAUUGGAAAAGGAAUAACAUUUGUAAUGUAAAUAUAGAAAUAUCAAAUUUAAAAAAGCUAUAUAUUUUGCUAAAAAAGAAAAAAAUGAAAGAAAUAAAAGAAAAGAAAACUGCCAAUUAAUUACACCCUUUGACUCAGAAAUCUAAAGGGUCACUGUCAGGGAAUGGUAGUCAGAGUAAUACUAGUUCAAAGACGAAGAUGGUGAAAUCUCAAAUAGAAGCAAUUUUCUCUCCCAGAUAUCAGUGUCAGACACAAUCUGCACUCUAGGAAUCCAAAGCACAGAGUAAUUUACUCUGAGCUGAGGACACAAUACUUGUCUUUCCCUUCUUCCUUAGGACCAAAACCAUCAGCUUUAAAGAAAACUGUGCCCUUUCCAACACUUGGCUUUGGAAAAAAGACAUGAAUGAUAUAAAUUCUCCGACUUCCAGGAACCAUAACUAGCAGGGAAGUCCAGAUGCAUCUGAGAGGCUCCCAUCUCCUGAUUACCAUAUUUGGAAGGCUCCAAUCAAUACUAUCUUUUCAGCAAACCUUCUCAACCACUACCCAGAAAUGACUGAGAUUUCCCAUGGACCACAUAUUUCUUUUUUUUUAUAACAAAGCAGAAGGCCAGCUUCCUUCUUCCCAUCUUUGAUCACUUCAUCCUCUUUUUUCUCCUUCCCAAAGGCUGUUUAUGCUGAAUUAGAGGCCAAAUAGUAAACCCUAGAGGUACUGAAGGACUACUGGAGAGGCAACUUCUGUCAGGACAACACUUGUUACA